GAUGAACGCUAGCGGCAGGCUUAAUACAUGCAAGUCGAACGCGAAAGGGACUUCGGUCCCGAGUAGAGUGGCGCACGGGUGAGUAACGCGUAAGUAAUCUACCCCUGUAUCUGGAAUAACCCACCGAAAGGUGAGCUAAUACCGGAUACGUUCAGAUUGGUGCGAAUCAGUCUGAAGAAAGAUGGCCUCUUCUUGAAAGCUAUUGUACAGGGACGAGCUUGCGUACCAUUAGCUAGUUGGUAGGGUAAUGGCCUACCAAGGCAACGAUGGUUAGCGGGUCUGAGAGGAUGAUCCGCCACACUGGAACUGACACACGGUCCAGACUCCUACGGGAGGCUG
Molecule: ribosomal RNA, 339 nt
Filed under: uncultured Pseudomonadota bacterium
Lineage: Bacteria; Pseudomonadati; Pseudomonadota
Description: bacterial SSU rRNA
Rfam family: Bacterial small subunit ribosomal RNA
Source: RNAcentral